GAUAUUCUGCAUGCAUGCCUGAGUCCAGGGCACUACAUGAUGGCACCAGGUAGAAGCUGAGGGGCUGCUUGGGUUUCAAGCUGACACAUCUCCUGUCAAAGCUACUUCAUACCCCGGCAGAGAGAAGUUCCUCUCAACUCUUAGCAGUGAUCAUUGCAAUUAUUACAUGUACCACUGAGAGAAGCCUAGAACACAGAGGUGAGGCCGAAACACACUGCUGCAUCUCACAGACCAAGAGGUACUACAUUAGACAGGUUAAAGGAGUUUGUAGGUUCCUAGGUUUGCCUAGUUAAAAGAAGCCCUCCAGAGAAAGUCAGGCUCAACUUAUCUGAAAUCUCUGAAAGCCAGACAUAAUGACUGUUGUGACAGUUUUCAGUAACAAGGAGUGAAGUUUCCUGUCAAAAGAAGUGCUUUCACCAUUUUCGUCAUAUGUAAAACAAGAUGCUUCUACAGGUACAUUCAUAGAGCUUCUUUGAGAUCCUGAAAAUCUAUCAAGGA
Molecule: long non-coding RNA, 498 nt
Organism: Canis lupus familiaris (dog)
Lineage: Eukaryota; Metazoa; Chordata; Mammalia; Carnivora; Canidae
Exons: 4
Source: RefSeq, a predicted model, not a curated record